GGGGCUGACUGGUUUUGACAGCAGGGCCAAUGGGUAAGUAAGCAUGCAGUGAUAUGUUGUGUACUCACUUUAAUCAGGCACUUCAACCUUUUAACUGGCAACGAAGAGUACGCUUUAGCUGCAUAAUUCUGAAUUUUAGUAGGAAUUCGCUUACAUCUAUACAAGGUAUAGAAGCUGAAUGUCCCUCAAAAGCCUUGACUUACGGCGUUUGAUUAAGGGACACGGGAAAGUAAGAAUAGGAAUCUUGGCGUUUCGAAUAGAUUCCGAAAUUUAAGAAACUAAGCGUUUGACAGAGUGUUUAUUCUCAGGAUUUCGCCGACAAUUAAAAAUAAACUAAGCAUGUAGAAAGCUUAUUUGUUGCUUGUUUGGACGCGGGUUCGAAUCCCGCCAGCUCCACAG
This is a non-coding RNA of Chishuiella changwenlii, 399 nucleotides long. NCBI's taxonomy places the organism in Bacteria, Pseudomonadati, Bacteroidota, Flavobacteriia, Flavobacteriales, Weeksellaceae. The record is from Rfam.